This 460-nucleotide ribosomal RNA is filed under the name uncultured bacterium. RNAcentral's name for it is "partial 16S ribosomal RNA". It matches the Rfam family "Bacterial small subunit ribosomal RNA", at positions 338 to 795 of the family's 1533-position model. The record is from RNAcentral.
CCUACGGGUGGCAGCAGUGAGGAAUAUUGGUCAAUGGACGCGAGCCUGAACCAGCCAAGUCGCGUGAAGGAUGACGGCCCUAUGGGUUGUAAACUUCUUUUAUACAGGAAUAAAUUGAGGCACGUGUGCCUGUUUGUAUGUAUCUUAUGAAUAAGGAUCGGCUAACUCCGUGCCAGCAGCCGCGGUAAUACGGAGGAUCCGAGCGUUAUCCGGAUUUAUUGGGUUUAAAGGGUGCGUAGAUGGUUUGUUAAGUCAGUUGUGAAAGUCUGCGGCUCAACCGUGAAAGUGCAAUUGAUACUGGCAGCCUUGAGUGCAGUUGCGGUAGGCGGAAUGCGUGGUGUAGCGGUGAAAUGCAUAGAUAUCACGCAGAACUCCGAUUGCGAAGGCAGCCUACUAAACUGCCACUGACGCUGAUGCACGAAAGUGUGGGGAGCAAACAGGAUUAGAUACCCGAGUAGUC